AUGGAGGCGCAGCCUGUACCCACAGCUGCUGAGAUGCGGGACCACAGGAGACAGAUUGGAGAGUGUUCCCGCAGCUCGCUCCCUGCGCCUCGUCGCCUGCAUAGAGAGCAGCAAGAGUGCAACGGUUUGCAGUCUGAGGCAGAAGCCUUGGGCCUGACGAGUGCGGGAAGAGAGAGAGGAGACAUGCGUGCAGAGGCACGGUCUGCACCCACGGCUGCGGAGCUGCGGGGCCCCAGGAGACAGAGUGGAAAGUGUUCCUCCAGCGGAAAGAGUGCCCCUACGAUGCACAUCGAGCCCUCUGGCUGCGCAGCACUUAGCGUGCCUCCGUCAGAGUCUCCCAAAGAGCCUGAACAGCUACGGAAGCUCUUCAUCGGAGGUUUGAGUUUUGAAACAACGGAGAGUCUGAGGAGCCAUUUUGAGCAAUGGGGAAUGCUCACAGACUCUGUGGUGAUGAGAGACCCAAACACCAAGCACUCCAGAGGCUUUGGGUUUGUCACCUAUGCCACUGUGGAGGAGGUGGAUGCAGCCAUGAAUGCAAGGCCACACAAGGUGGAUGGAAGAGUUGUGGAACCAAAGAGGGCUGUCUCAAGAGAAGAUUCCCAAAGAACUGGAGCCCACUUAACUGUGAAAAAGAUUUUUGUUGGUGGUAUUAAAGAAGACACUGAAGAACAUCACCUAAGAGAUGAUUUUGAGCAGUGUGGGACAUUGAAGUGAUGGAAAUCAUGACUGACCAAGGCAGUGGCAAGAAGAGAGGCUUUGUUUUUGUAACCUUUGAUGACCAUGACUCUGUAGACAAGAUUGUCAUUCAGAAAUACCAUACUGUGAAUGCCCACAACUGUGAAGUAAGGAAAGCCCUAUCUAAGCAAGAGAUGGCUAGUGCUUCAUCUAGUCAAAGAGGUCGAAGUGGUUCUGGAAACUUCGGUGGUGGUCAAGGAGGUGGUUUUGGUGGGAAUGACAACUUUGGUUGUGGAGGAAACUUAAGUGGUCGAGGUGGCUUUGGUGGCAGUCGUGGUGGUGGAGGAUAUGGUGGCAAUGGGGAUGGCUAUAAUGGAUUUGGUAAUGAUGGAAGCAAUUUUGGAGGUGGUGGAAGCUACAAUGAUUUUGGCAGUUAUAACAAUCAGUCUUCAAAUUUUGGGCCCAUGAAAGGAGGAAACUUGGGAGGCAGAAGCUCUGGCCCCUAUGGUGGUAGAGGCCAAGGCUUUGCCAAACCACAAAACCAAGGUGGCUAUGGCGGUUCCAGCACAGCAGUAGCUAUGGCAGUGGCAGGAGGUUUUAAUCACUGCCAGGAAAUAAAGCUUAGCAGGAGAGGAGAGCCAGAGAAGUGACAGGGAAGCUACAGGUUACAACAGAUUUGUGAACUCAGCCAAGCACAGUGGUGGCAGGGCCUAGCUGCUACAAAGAAGACAUGUUUUAGACAAUACUCAUGUGUAUGGGCAAAAAAACUUGAGGACUGUAUUUGUGACUAAUUGUAUAACAGGUUAUUUUAGUUUCUGUUCUGUGGAAAGUAUAAAGCAUUCCAACCAAGGGUUUUAAUGUAGAUUUUUUUUUUGCACCCAUGCUGUUGGUUGCUAAAUGUAAUAGUCUGAUCAUGACGCUGAAU
This is an RNA transcript of Hipposideros armiger (great roundleaf bat), 1600 nucleotides long. It is a transcript of the gene named heterogeneous nuclear ribonucleoprotein A1-like, with no coding region annotated. The transcript is spliced from 3 exons. NCBI's taxonomy places the organism in Eukaryota, Metazoa, Chordata, Mammalia, Chiroptera, Hipposideridae. The record is from RefSeq and is a predicted model, not a curated record.